CUCCACACAAACCAUACAGCACCCUGUCCCUAAAAGCCGCCCACUAAAACAUCCUAAUCCCAAGGGAACAACACCCAAACAGCUGAAAAAUCCAUUAAAACUCGAUUUUUUUUUUGCCCUGAGCAGGCAUCUAAAGCCUCACCCAGAGCAGGAGAUGCCUGGCCUGGUUUGUGGAUGAUUAUUCCCCCAAACAAACCCACCAAGCUCCACUGCUCAUCCUCAGUGCUGACAGGCACCAAGGUUAAUUGGUCACAAUUGCAUCCCCCAAUUCCCAGCCCAGAGAAGUGCCAGGAGCCAGAGGUAAAUCACACAACCAACCCACUUGCUGCCUCCGAGUUUAAAUAAAUAGAAAUCCCAGGCUAAUUAAUAUUUAGGAAAUGCAAAAGUUGUCAUCUUAAAUCAGGCUGAAACACAAUAAUCACAUUAAGUGCUUACUUCAGCAAAAUAGCCCUGAAAUGCAAAGUGUUGGUGAGUUAUGGGAGUAUUUAUCCCCUUAAUUGACUCCUGGCUCUGGCAGAACUCCAUUACCCAGGAGUUAGGAGGAAAUUUAAUUCCAAUCCUCGUGUCUGCACUCAAGGACUUCUGUUGGACUUGGGUUUAUUUUCAGCUGCAGCACUGAAGGGCUGCAUUUUUCCAGUUGCAAUCCUGCUCAGUUGAGCAACAAAUGUGACAUUUCGUGUUUCAUCUGCUGACCUUCCGCUCAUAUCUGGGAAAUUUUUCAUCCUGUUCUCCUUCUGUUUUCCCUUCCAGGUGUCCUUUAAGGCAAGAAGGAACUCGGUGUUUUAGCAGGGAGAGUCUGCAACAGAUUCCUAACCAGGCUGGCCCUGGACCCCUGGAAGUGUCCAAGCCCAUUUUUAUACCUCUCUGGUUCUUGUUAGUCGACCUCCAGCAAGAGGAAAAUUGAUCAGAACUUCCCCAAACCAGCCUUGGUUUGCUCCAAGGAAAAGGCCAGGACCUUAGCAACCAACAAUUUAAUCGGGAAAAGAAAUUCUAUCUCGACUGAGAAAGGGAAUUUUUUCUUCAUGGAGAAAAUAAAUUUUUUGUAGCUCCUUUUCUGCAUGGUCCAGGCUCAGGAGAACAAAUCCCUCGCACUCCACAUGAAAAAUGCACUUUUUGAGGCUGCCCAGGUGUAACAGCACUCGUUGGUUUGAUGGCCACAGCUGUCCCUUUCUGACGGAAAAUUUGUGCUGAUUUCACGGUGGCUGCUUGGAGAAAAGUCACCACACGUUACGGUUGUUUCAUAGCUGGGGGGCAAGCGGAGAAAAUUAUUUAAUUAGGUUUCUGUAAUAACAGCUCCAUUUCCAAAUGGCUGCCCAUGUGUAUUAGCAGGGAAGGAUUUCAAUUACUCUGUUUCCUUUAAUUCUGGGAUUUUUAACGCCGGUGGAGGCAAAGAAAGGCUGAGAUCAAAAACUAAACCGGGAACUCUUUGUCCGCAGAAUGUAUUGAAUAUAUUAAAUUAAUGUAUCCGUGGAUGCAUGGAGCAUUUCACACUUCAUCUCCCUGCAGCCACAUCCACGUGCAAAACCCAAGCUCAGACCAGAAUGAGGGUUGGAAUUCCAACUUCUCCAAAAUUCCAUCCCAGCCAGGAAUUCCUUCCCAAAAUCCCAUCAAACCCUGUACCCCAGCAGUGGGAAGCCAUUCCCUCUUUUCCUACCCCAGGUCUGGACUCCACAGCCCAAAAUCCUCUCUUGGAGUUCAAAGUUCUCGACUCCACAGCCCAAAAUCCCCUCGUAGAGUUCAAAGUUUCACAUUUACAACACAAGAACAUCAAAGCUGUUUUAUUUAAGAAUAUGCGGAACUGGAAUGCUGUGCAGUUAAUGAACAUCCUGGUGGGAGGAAUGAGGCAGAUCCGGGAGGAUUUAACAGCACCUGAGCAGGCGGGGCGGCUCAGCCAUGUGUGUGUGCUUGUGUUUGUGUUUCCCAGGCUCUAAAAUCAGGAUUUGUUUUAUUUUAUGCACCUGCAAUGUGUCAUUUUUUUACUUUUCCUGUGCUGUGUCUCUCUUUCUCUCUCCUCGGCUUUGUUGGGAACUCUCUGUUCCUGACAGCCUUCCCCUGGGAGCAGCCGGUGCAGGGGAGACAGAGGUUGUGUCUUUCCCUGGCUGUGUUUUCCCUGUCGGAUGAUGGAUGUCACCAAGCUCCUGGUGGCACUCUCACUGUCCUGGCAUGUCUGGUUAUCUCGGCUGUUUGAGGGGCCUGGAAAGGCCCGAGGUGGCUUUGGGGGAGCCCGUGUAUCGAAGGA
Molecule: non-coding RNA, 2239 nt
Organism: Zonotrichia albicollis (white-throated sparrow)
Lineage: Eukaryota; Metazoa; Chordata; Aves; Passeriformes; Passerellidae
Source: RefSeq, a predicted model, not a curated record